AAGUUAUUUUCUUUCCUGCAGCUGCUAUUUUUAACCGCACGGUGCCGGUUUCUCUUUGCGUCCCUGUGUGCAUGUUUACCUGUGACCCGCCAGUGGCGCCCAGUGACGCCACAAGGCCGCUGUUGCCAGGCCCGGGCCCGCCCGCCCGCGUUACCAUGACGGCCGCAGCGGCGGCGGUGAGCGGCCGGCCCCUCACCAUGAGCAGAAAGAGGCUGCAGCAGCUCGUGGACGCGCUGGGACACUCCACCAAGCACUUUAAUAAAGGUGAAGUGGAAUGUCUGAUCAAGCUCUUCGACAAGCUGGUGGCCGAGUCCAGCAGCCGCUUUGCUGCAGCCGGCUUUGACCGUAACAUGUUCAGAGACAUUCUGCACAGCGCGUUUGGCAUGACGGAUGAGAUGAUCAUGGACAGAGUGUUCCGCACUUUUGAUAGAGAUAACAACAGCUGCAUCAGCGUGGUGGAAUGGGUGGAAGGCUUAUCCGUAUUUCUUCGGGGGACAAUGGAAGAAAAGAUCAAAUACUGUUUUGAGGUUUAUGACCUGAAUGGUGAUGGAUACAUUUCAAGAGAGGAAAUGUUUCAAAUGCUGAAAAACUGCCUUCUCAAACAACCGUCAGAAGAAGAUCCCGAUGAGGGAAUUAAGGACUUGGUAGACAUAGCAAUGAAGAAAAUGGACUAUGAUCAUGAUGGCAAGCUUUCUUUUAAGGACUUUGAAAAAGCAGUCAGAGAUGAAACUCUUCUCUUAGAAGCCUUUGGACCAUGUUUGCCAGACAUAAAGAGCCGUAUGGCAUUUGAGCAGAAAACCUUCCGGGAAAGCUCGUAAACUGUAACUCCCAGUGGAAUACUGCUGUAAGAAGUUUUUUCAUCACCAUUCUGCAUGAAACCAGGUACAAGUACCACACUGGAGUCAGCAGGACUACCUGCAAAGUUAUUCCGCCUCCCCACGUGGAUAAAAAAAGGUGUAAUUUACUAAAAAUCAUGUAGGACCAUGCACUGACAUUUGUACUUUCUGAAGUGUCGUGUCAGAGGUAUGGAGUAGAAUUGCCUGCAAUAUCCUGCAUUGUGGAAGAGUUAAACAGUAAGAACGCUAGCUUUAAGUGGCAAAUAAACUGAUAAUACUGAGUAAGUGCUGAA
This is an RNA transcript of Strigops habroptila (Kakapo), 1129 nucleotides long. It is a transcript of the gene named EF-hand calcium binding domain 1, with no coding region annotated. The record is from RefSeq and is a predicted model, not a curated record. The transcript has 7 exons. Lineage: Eukaryota; Metazoa; Chordata; Aves; Psittaciformes; Psittacidae.